GGGAUCGNAAGACCUUGCGUUUUUGGGAGCGGGCCGAUGUCUGAUUAGCUAGUUGGUGGGGUAAGGGCCUACCAAGGNCGACGAUCAGUAGUUGGUCUGAGAGGACGACCAGCCACACUGGGACUGAGACACGGCCCAGACUCCUACGGGAGGCAGCAGUGGGGAAUUUUGGACAAUGGGCGAAAGCCUGAUCCAGCAAUGCCGCGUGAGUGAAGAAGGCCUUCGGGUUGUAAAGCCUCUUUCACUCGAGAAGAAAAGGUGCAGUGAAUAACUGUAGUUUAUGACGGUAUCGACAGAANAAGCACCGGCUAACUACGUGCCAGCAGCCGCGGUAAUACGUAGGGUGCGAGCGUUAAUCGGAAUUACUGGGCGUAAAGGGUGCGCAGGCGGUUUUGUAAGUCAGAUGUGAAAUCCCCCGGGCUUAACCUGGGAAUUGCGUUUGAAA
RNAcentral lists this ribosomal RNA (445 nucleotides) under uncultured bacterium. Its description in RNAcentral is "bacterial SSU rRNA". It matches the Rfam family "Bacterial small subunit ribosomal RNA", at positions 196 to 632 of the family's 1533-position model. The record is from RNAcentral.